This 497-nucleotide ribosomal RNA is filed under the name uncultured bacterium. RNAcentral describes it as "partial 16S ribosomal RNA". It matches the Rfam family "Bacterial small subunit ribosomal RNA", at positions 28 to 507 of the family's 1533-position model. The record is from RNAcentral.
GAUGAACGCUGGCGGCGUGCCUAAUACAUGCAAGUCGAGCGAACGGACGAGAAGCUUGCUUCUCUGAUGUUAGCGGCGGACGGGUGAGUAACACGUGGAUAACCUACCUAUAAGACUGGGAUAACUUCGGGAAACCGUAGCUAAUACCGGAUAAUAUUUUGAACCGCAUGGUUCAAAAGUGAAAGACGGUCUUGCUGUCACUUAUAGAUGGAUCCGCGCUGCAUUAGCUAGUUGGUAAGGUAACGGCUUACCAAGGCAACGAUGCAUAGCCGACCUGAGAGGGUGUUCGGCCACACUGGAACUGAGACGCGGUCCAGACUCCUACGGGAGGCAGCAGUAGGGAAUCUUCCGCAAUGGGCGAAAGCCUGACGGAGCAACGCCGCGUGAGUGAUGAAGGUCUUCGGAUCGUAAAACUCUGUUAUUAGGGAAGAACAUAUGUGUAAGUAACUGUGCACAUCUUGACGGUACCUAAUCAGAAAGCCACGGCUAACUACGUG